UGCUUAUGUCUAAGUAGGGAGCAUUAUUGAAUAAAUUUGAUUUUGGAAUCUAAAGUUGGGGAGAGUAAAGUAAAAAGAUUUGAUUAGAAACUUGGAAAAGUGAGUUUUUUAUGAAAGGGUGAAAAUAUGAAAAGAAACAAGAAAAAGAAAUCACCCUUGAAACCAUAGAGCAAAGAAAAAGAAAAGAUAGAAAAAACAAAGAAAAUGCUCAUGGUUGUGUGGAUGUAAAAAGAAAAAGAAAAGAAAAAGACGGGGAUCAAAGAAAUGGAAAUUGUGUAGAGUUGAAUAUAUGGAAAUGCUCC
RNAcentral lists this long non-coding RNA (302 nucleotides) under Lathyrus oleraceus (garden pea). RNAcentral's name for it is "Pisum sativum (pea) long non-coding RNA (PSAT_LNC017743)". Lineage: Eukaryota; Viridiplantae; Streptophyta; Magnoliopsida; Fabales; Fabaceae. The record is from RNAcentral.